UACGUAGGGGGCAAGCGUUGUCCGGAUUUAUUGGGCGUAAAGAGCGUGUAGGCGGCCAUGCAGGUCAGCUGUGAAAACUCGAGGCUCAACCUCGAGACGUCGGUUGAAACCGUAUGGCUAGAGUCCGGAAGAGGAGAGUGGAAUUCCCGGUGUAGCGGUGAAAUGCGCAGAUAUCGGGAAGAACACCCGUGGCGAAGGCGGCUCUCUGGGACGGUACUGACGCUGAGACGCGAAAGCGUGGGGAGCCAACAGG
This 253-nucleotide ribosomal RNA is filed under the name uncultured bacterium. RNAcentral describes it as "partial 16S ribosomal RNA". It matches the Rfam family "Bacterial small subunit ribosomal RNA", at positions 524 to 776 of the family's 1533-position model. The record is from RNAcentral.